Molecule: non-coding RNA, 95 nt
Organism: Halenospora varia
Lineage: Eukaryota; Fungi; Ascomycota; Leotiomycetes; Helotiales; Solenopeziaceae
Source: the annotation of a GenBank genome assembly
GCUGGGUUGGUCUAGUGGUAUGAUAUCUGUUUGUGAAGUCGCAAUUGCGGGCAACAUUGCACAGAAGAUCGUCAGUUCGAUUCUGGCACCUAGCA